AAGUGGAAGCAGCUAUUGCUGUUUUGAAACACUCUGCUGAUGAUGACACUGUCCGUGAGAAGAUGAAGGCUACCUUCCAUUACCGUCAUUCAAUGGUCAAUGAUGAAAAGAAAGCGGCAAAUGUCUUCUCUGUCUUUCCACGGUUUCUGGACACACCAGGACUGAUAUAAAAAGAUUUCAGACUCCUGUUUGGCGAAGACACUGCCAACAAAUCUUUGGAGAAGUGGCCCACCAGUCUCAAAUCCAAGGUUAUAAAGGAAAGCCAUGAGCUCUUGGAUUUAUUGCGGAAUGCAGAGUUGGCUGCUGAAGCUAAGAAUGCUGCAUCUGCUACCACCAUCUGCACAAGGACGAAAGAGGCCGGGUAAGAUGUCUGCAUCUUAAGCAGUGGAUCACCUCAUCAGAUGUCUAAAGGUUGGAACCAGUGUACAGAGGCAUCUUGACAAAAUCAUGCAACGUACCCAGCCCUACCUCCUUGCCCAGGGAUUCAUCCAAAGCAGUAUUCACACAUUCUUCAUUGUGAUUGACAACUGUGCUAUUCCAUGUAAGGCAACAUGUUCAGUUGGAGCUCUUGAUGGCCCAUUAUGUGUUUGGUACGUAAUACAGUGCUCCCUUGACCAACUUCUUCACCUUUCUUCAAACAACUGUUUACAACAUAGAUGUUGGAGAAACAAAGGAAACACCCAGAGUUGAGCUCUAGAAUGCUCCAUUAGUGUGACAUGUACAGUAACUUUUCAUGAACAUUUUCAUGCUUAUGAAGUUACUAAAAUGAUGCAAGGUUUUGUUGUGUUUGACGUCAACCAUCUAUGUUAUCCAAAGCCCUUUGACAUACAAAUGUCAUAUGAAGCAAAUGACACUGCUCUUUUUGUUGUCCCAUAUUGCUAUCUUUGGUGAACAUUGUUUUGAAGAUGGUUAAACUGACACUGUUACAGUAAUUAUGUCACUGGAUCAUAAAGUUGAAUAAAUGUCACUAUGAACUUA
Long non-coding RNA from Xiphophorus hellerii (green swordtail), 978 nucleotides. RefSeq lists it as uncharacterized. Lineage: Eukaryota; Metazoa; Chordata; Actinopteri; Cyprinodontiformes; Poeciliidae. The transcript is spliced from 4 exons. The record is from RefSeq and is a predicted model, not a curated record.